GGGCCCGCACAAGCGGUGGAGCAUGUGGUUUAAUUCGAUGAUACGCGAGGAACCUUACCAGGGCUUAAAUGUAAGUUGCAUUAGCUAGAGAUAGCUAUUUCUUCGGACCACUUACAAGGUGCUGCAUGGUUGUCGUCAGCUCGUGCCGUGAGGUGUCAGGUUAAGUCCUAUAACGAGCGCAACCCCUGUUGUUAGUUGCCAGCGAGUAAUGUCGGGAACUCUAACAAGACUGCCGGUGCAAACCGUGAGGAAGGUGGGGAUGACGUCAAAUCAUCAUGCCCCUUAUGUCCAGGGCUGCACGCAUGCUACAAUGGCAAGUACAACGAGUCGCAAAUACCGCGAGGUGGAGCAAAUCUCUUAAAGCUUGUCUCAGUUCGGAUAGGAGUCUGCAACUCGACUCCUUGAAGUUGGAGUC
RNAcentral lists this ribosomal RNA (415 nucleotides) under uncultured bacterium. RNAcentral's name for it is "bacterial SSU rRNA". It matches the Rfam family "Bacterial small subunit ribosomal RNA", at positions 917 to 1333 of the family's 1533-position model. The record is from RNAcentral.